UGAAGGGAAAAUAUUUCCACUGCAUUAUGUUUCAAUUUGUUUAAACAUAAAUCUAGCAGUGGCUGAACCCCUAAAAAUGAGCAGUAUGUGGUGGAGAGGCAGUGCAGCUCUGCUCUUCUCAGGGAUGGAGGCACCCACAUCUAAAAUGCAGAGAACGAAUUAGGGGCCAUAUCUGAGCUGAUCAAGUGUUAGAAGUGGACUGGAAGAAGAGGAAGAAAUGAUCAUGGAGGCUUCUCAGCACUGUGGCUGUUGCUAUGGAAGUGCACAUCACCAGGAGGCAUGAGAGGACACCUUCAAUACUGGAGCGAGGGGAAACACAGCAUCCAGGAGCCUCAAUUCUGAGCGAUGAGAGCCACCGAGGGAGUCCAGCUUCUUUGCAGGUUAACUGCAUGAUUGCUGGCCAGAGUUGAGAUGGAUGAAGAAAGAAGUGUUUGAAGUGGAAUUGGAGAAGAUCACUGAUUCGGGCCGCACAGAGGGCUGGCUGGACAGUGCAUUUGAAUUCAUUGUGGAUGCUGCCCUGAGCACUAGCCAGGCGCUUCAUACCAUUAGAAAGCCUCAUUUUGAAGUUAUGUCACAGAAGACCUGAGGGAGGACAUUAAUGCCUGCCAUCAGGAUUCCUCCUUGAAUGCAUCACAUCCCCAAACCGAAAUUCAGCCUCAUGCUUCACACCGCUGUGUUUGUGUCGUUACCUUCUUCCGGUUCACCCGGCACCUUUAGAAAUGUGAAAAAUAAAAUAAAACAAAA
Molecule: long non-coding RNA, 744 nt
Organism: Strigops habroptila (Kakapo)
Lineage: Eukaryota; Metazoa; Chordata; Aves; Psittaciformes; Psittacidae
Exons: 5
Source: RefSeq, a predicted model, not a curated record